GGCUGGUCAAGUGCAGUGUGUUUACAACUAGCUGAUCACAACCAGUUACAGAUUUUUUGGUUUCUUCUCCAUUUCCACUCCUUCAUUUGACUAAUCUUAC
RNAcentral lists this Y RNA (100 nucleotides) under Carlito syrichta (Philippine tarsier). RNAcentral's name for it is "Y RNA (ENSTSYG00000023020.2)". It matches the Rfam family "Y RNA". Rfam says of the family: Y RNAs are components of the Ro ribonucleoprotein particle (Ro RNP), in association with Ro60 and La proteins. The record is from Rfam by way of RNAcentral. Lineage: Eukaryota; Metazoa; Chordata; Mammalia; Primates; Tarsiidae.